GGGAAAAUUAAUUAAGAGUUUUUUGUUUGUUUGAUCUUACUAGACAGUUAAGCUCAAUUUUUAUUGAAUCUUUAGGCAGAGAUUCUGGUUUAUUUAUUCUAUCUGUCUGAUUAUUAUUAUAUUUCUGGUAGGGUGAACACCAAAGAAUAAAUGAAAGAUAAUGAGAUAAACAGAGCCAAAUGUGGCUGUGCCCUAGAGCGGGCCUAUCUCAAUAUACAAGUGUGUGUUUCAUCUCUCCAAAGCAAAGAUUUCAAGACUCAGCUGGCAUCAGUAAAGAAGUAUCACGCUGGGAGAGAGAGCUGUCACCCUGAUGCACGGCAAUCUGCCCGCAGCUUCCUCUGGAUAGGGACGAGAAUUCCUGGGAAGCAGCAGAUAAAUGUGUUACAUCCAUUUUUACGCAGAGAAGCCCAACACUAGCUACUUCCAGACAGAGUUGGUCCAGUGCUGCGGUUAUCAUGUUAACUUUCCCAGCCUCCAUAU
This 480-nucleotide long non-coding RNA is filed under the name Struthio camelus australis. RNAcentral describes it as "lncRNA (ENSSCUG00000003208.1)". Lineage: Eukaryota; Metazoa; Chordata; Aves; Struthioniformes; Struthionidae. The record is from RNAcentral.